This 335-nucleotide unclassified non-coding RNA is filed under the name Bombus terrestris (buff-tailed bumblebee). RNAcentral's name for it is "misc RNA ENSBTSG00005026691.1". The record is from RNAcentral. Lineage: Eukaryota; Metazoa; Arthropoda; Insecta; Hymenoptera; Apidae.
GUCGACUGGCUGAUUUAUACCAGCUACGCACUCCCUACGUAACAUUAGACAUGUAAAUAUCUCAUGCAAGAGCAGUCAGUAUCAUUUCACGUGUAAGUCCCGUGAUCGCCUCUGGCAGCGUAAGGCUAUGAGUUAUCGUUUCAAGGAGAUCGAGUCUCUGCUGUAUCGAGUACCUUUGGAUCUAAUAAAAGACGGAUUAGAUUAAAAACAUUCUUUUUGCCUCCGCCUUUUUACAAGGUAUGGCUCUCGUUUCUCGAAGACAGAGGAUCGAGACGUUACAAUGAACGUGGGACGCCUCGGGAUGAUCGUGACCAGGUAGAAUUACGAGUAACGCG